GGCCCCAUUCUCCCUCUUCCUCCCCUAAAAUCCCACACAUCAUUGCCAUGCAACAUGCUCACUGCCCCGGGCUGCAUUCUUCAGCACUUCCUUCUACCAACACUUGCCACAUCACCUCACAUCAUCUCUUUCUACUUCUGUUUCAAGUCUGCAGCACCUCUGCAGAAGAUCUCACUGUGAAUGUGGUAUUACACAAAAACAGAAAAUGCUACAAAUGACUGCUGAUGAAACUGCAUUGUCUCUCCCUGGUCUUGACACAAACAGCACAACCAAGGACAGCAGAACUAACAUCUACCACCAGAUCUUCCCACUCAUCCCAUACACAACUAUGCUCCACCCAAAAAGCAACAGUUUUUACAGCAGAGUUGUGUUACUGGUGCUGUGCUCUGAACCAGCAGCUACUGGCAAAACACAGAACAUAGAAUAGAAGCACCCCAACCAAACUCACCUGGAAGGGCAGAUCCAUGGCACUGUUUCCAAUCUGAUUCACAUUUGGCAGCGACCCACCAUAGUACUGGCCACGACUCUGUCCCAGCUGCAAAUAUUGGGUUUUCUGCAACUGUAACUAAAAGAAAACAAAGAGGAAAGUGUAAGGGUCACACAGUUGUUUUUCAGCUUUUAAUUAACUCUUCCCCAUAUCACUGAUCACUGAGAAUGGAUACCACCUGCAACAGUAUGGAUUUAACUCAUGAGGAUACCACUCCUCUGCCACACAGAACCUCUGUGACAGCACACAGGGACUGCUGUGGAAUCAACAAUCACAUUCCAUUUCCAACAAAGAGCAGCCCCAUGGAAGCACACGGUCCUUCUGUCACCUGCUGCACUGCUAAAGCAGGAGUAAAGAACCCGUAUCAGUCCAGCCAUGCCUCUAUCAUCAAACCCAACCAGCUGGGCACACACACAGCCGACGUGUGAGGAAGUCAGAUCAGUGUAUGGAGUGUACGGUUUAACCAAACACACUUGGUAGCAAUCUAGGUAGCAGAGAUGCUUGCUUCCCACCAUCAGCAAAGGAAACAGCACUACAGCUUCACCAUAUUGCCUCUGAGGUGGAGCAGAGAUGUUUCCAGCAAGGUGAGGCAGAGCCAUGCUGCUCAUGCUGGCAGUGAGGCCGAAGCAGAGCCCUGUGCUCAGCAGUAGUGGUGGCAGUGGGGCUGAGCAGUGCUGAUGGUGAUGGUACCACUCAGAGAGGAGCAACGGGAAUGCUGUGCUGAUGGCGUGCUGGCACUUCUGGGUCCAAGCAGGAACACCUGAAUCAGACAGCUCAGAGAUCCCAUCCACAAAGCACCACCUGGACCCCCCCACCUUGCACUUCCAUCCCCUGACACAACAUUACAACACAGGCACACGAGAGCAGAGGAGCACUGCACUGUGUUCCAGCCCCCGGCGCAGAGCUGUGAAGGCACAGCGUUGGAACGAGCUGUGCUUUUUGCCUGCUCCGUACAUAUGUUUUUGUUGCUACAAAAAGGCUUGCUUGGGAUUGGUGCCAAACGUGAAGUAAGUGCUUCAGCAGGUGCUGGUCUCUCCUAAGGAACCUCCUAUAAGGCAUGCUGGGCUGGGGAGUUGCUUCAUGUCCUCAGUACGUACCCAGCACAACGUAACGGGGAGGUCACCACCAUUUGUCUUCCUACUGCACUUAAACAUAGAAAUGAGGAAGCACAGGAGAUCAAGAAUUACAGCAGACCUCAAAACCGACCUGGUUAUGCAGCUUUGGUGUGCCAUUCAUCUCACCAGCACUCCCUUCAAUAAACACUUUUGGAGCUCUGUGCCAAAACUAAAAGCAAUUGCUUUACUGCUAUCCGGUAUUACUGCAGGCUCUGUGUUUGCUCCUCUCCUCGGCCUGCUGCCUCUUCAGUGCUCACCACCUGUAUUCAUUCCCUGAGCCACAAGAACUCAGCGAGCCUACACUGCAGCAUUCCCAUCCCUGUGCUCUGUGCCCAAGGUAAGAGCUGCAGACAGCAGAACAGACCAGCUCUGGCCUGAGGCAGCUGGGGGGGCAAAGGAAAAAGCUGUUCUUUGUCACAGCACUUCAUUUCUGCUCAGCACGGCUGCUCCAAAGGAACACUCCCCAUAACACAGACCCUGACCAGAGCUCUCAUUUCCCUCCACCACCAUUUCUCUUCCUCUCUUCCUCUACUUCAAAAGUUUUUAAGCCAGAAACCAAUUUGGAGUUAUUUUGUCAUUAAACCAUUUCCGUGCAUGCAGUUUUUUAGCAUAGCUGCAAGCAUUCCCUAAAUAAAAGCACGUUGGUACA
Gallus gallus (chicken) is the source of this 2251-nucleotide long non-coding RNA. RefSeq lists it as uncharacterized. NCBI's taxonomy places the organism in Eukaryota, Metazoa, Chordata, Aves, Galliformes, Phasianidae. The transcript has 2 exons. The record is from RefSeq and is a predicted model, not a curated record.